This 497-nucleotide ribosomal RNA is filed under the name uncultured bacterium. RNAcentral's name for it is "partial 16S ribosomal RNA". It matches the Rfam family "Bacterial small subunit ribosomal RNA", at positions 28 to 507 of the family's 1533-position model. The record is from RNAcentral.
GAUGAACGCUGGCGGCGUGCCUAAUACAUGCAAGUCGAGCGAACAGACGAGGAGCUUGCUCCUCUGACGUUAGCGGCGGACGGGUGAGUAACACGUGGAUAACCUACCUAUAAGACUGGGAUAACUUCGGGAAACCGGAGCUAAUACCGGAUAAUAUAUUGAACCGCAUGGUUCAAUAGUGAAAGACGGUUUUGCUGUCACUUCUAGAUGGAUCCCCGCCGCAUUAUCUAGUUGGUAAGGUAACGGCUUACCAAGGCAACGAUGCGUAGCCGACCUGAGAGGGUGAUCGGCCACACUGGAACUGAGACACGGUCCAGAGUACUACGGGAGGCAGCAGUAGGGAAUCUGCCGCAAUGGGCGAAAGCCUGACGGAGCAACGCCGCGUGAGUGAUGAAGGUCUUCGGAUCGUAAAACUCUGUUAUUAGGGAAGAACAAAUGUGUAAGUAAAUAUGCACGUCUUGACGGUACCUAAUAAGAAAGCCACGGCUAACUACGUG